Molecule: long non-coding RNA, 791 nt
Organism: Drosophila miranda
Lineage: Eukaryota; Metazoa; Arthropoda; Insecta; Diptera; Drosophilidae
Exons: 3
Source: RefSeq, a predicted model, not a curated record
CAGCUGAUUGUGGGAAAAAAAUUGGCGCCAAAUUACUUGUUUACAUUUUUACGUGGCGAUCGAGUAAAUUUGCUCAAAUAAAUUCGGCUAAAAAUGGAAAAUGAAGAUAAAGAAAAUUUAACUGCGUCCCCUGUGUUUCGUAGAAUAUAACAAAUGAACUGAGUUCUGCUGAGAAAAACUAACUAUGAAAGUUCGAGUUUUUGCAUAGCGAUCUCAUCGAUAUUUGGCGCAACAACAAUCGACAAAAAAAAUCUGUCUCACAUUGGAUUUACAGUAAAAUCAAUAACAACCAUUUGAAAAAUGAAAAAAAAGAGAAAUAGAUAAAAAAAUCAGUAAUUUUGAAUCCUUCAUUAAAAGAAACCUUCUGAAGUGCAACAAAAUGAUGGAAUGACGGUUUAUGACCACCCAUGCUAAAUGGAUGGCUUCUAAAAUAACAAUUAUUGUUGAUGAAAAUUGUAAGACACCAAAGAAAAUGGGACGUCCAACAUUACAUUAUACAAAUGCAGGGACAAGAUUAAAAAGGAAACUGGCGUCUGAUCUUGCAAAUGAUAAUAAUAAUAACACGAAUCUUCUUAUGCAUGCUGCGGCAGUUUCUGCUAAGAAAGAACGCAAGACCGACGUGGCUUUUGUCCUAACAAAAACAAUUAGAACACCUGAAUACCCGACUGAAUCGAAAAAGCAUCUUCAAUUGCAAAAGCCCAUUCCACUUUCACCAGAUGAAGCUUUAGCUUACCUCCUGGAAAAUUCACUCAACAAACAGCAGUAUACAAACACUAGACUUUUAAAUAAAA